This 4098-nucleotide long non-coding RNA is filed under the name Sander lucioperca (pikeperch). RNAcentral's name for it is "lncRNA (ENSSLUG00000014795.1)". Lineage: Eukaryota; Metazoa; Chordata; Actinopteri; Perciformes; Percidae. The record is from RNAcentral.
ACACUUUUGUGUGUAUGUGUGUGUGUGUGUGUGUGUGUGUGUGUGUGUGUGUGUGUGUGUGUGUGUGUGUGUGUGUGUGUGUUUCAGCUGUGUGAAAGCCAGAGGGUGGUGAUUGUGGACCUCGGCGCAGAGCCUCAGCGUGUGGAGAUUGUAAACCUUCACUCUUUUGAGGAUGAUGAAAGCAGAGACCAAGAUCUGACUAGCUCACCAACAAACACCACCACUGACAACAGUUUCCAGACUCCUGAGCCUGAGACGCCGAGCCCGGAGCCGAGGGAGGACGAACCAGACGCAACGCAACAGAGCGCCAGAGAGGAGAAGCUGGAGCUAACAGCAGACGACAAGAAACACAACAACAACAACAUGUUGGCUUCGCAGACGUUCACCUUGGUGAGCAGAGACACGUGAGCGUUGCCGGCCUCGACAUCCACACUGGGGGCCCAUAAAGCCCAAAUGUAGCCUGCCUGCACAGAGCAUGCUCCACGGCUUCCUGCGUUUACAACAGGACUAUUUUGAUACUACUGUUACAUGCCCACAAGGAGACUGAGACUGAGAGGAUGACAGCCCUGACAACACACGGGCCUCCAUCACUUCCAGACAGAGAGAGAGGCAGAUGUCCUGUAUCUUAACACCUGUUAGAUCUGUCCAUACUGAUAUGUCCCUGGGCAAAACACCAACAUAUGGAGUCAGAUUUGUCUCAAAACAUUUCUGCAUAAAAAUAAGAUUGUGAAAUGGUCAUAUAAAAGUUACAAAUGAUGUUUGAGCUGAAAUAUACUUGCGCAACCCCAGAAGGAGUUUUGAGAGUUUUUUCUGGUUUCAAUAUGAGUCUCCAGCUCAGUCGCGGCCAGGGGAAAGUAACUGGCCAGGCAUUUGGUUUUUAUAGGCGGGCCCUGACAAUCUAAUUCUUUUUUUCAGACUUUUCAAGUCAACAACAGAUUCAUAUUGAUAUUCAAUAUUAUGUAGGUUUAUAUGGUAAAAAGACUACCUUGAAAUGAUAUUUACUGUAUAUUUUAAUGAUACUUAAAAUUCGGUUCAUAUAAAUGAAUUGUGAGCCGAUAGUGCAGCCUAUUAUUUAUCUGAAUGGCAAAGUUGUGUAGUCUCCCACUAUUAGACCUUACAAUUCAGACGCAAGCAGUCCAAGGCCUAAGUCAGUUAUUAGUGCAAAACAAAAACACAAAAAACAGCGACAUCGUGACAGCUGCAUGAUCAGCGCCAUGGACAGCAAGACUACGACUAUAGGGGGCAUGUUAUUCUACCCUCUCACAUAUCUAUUACUCCAUAUUGGCAAACACACACUGAAAAAGACCCAAUAUUUGUAACCACCUAAAAGCUGUAAGACAAUUCAGGAAAAACACCUUACACAAAAAUGAUAGGAAUAAUGAGAUGACUAACUUACUACUCUUCUGUGGCUCAGGCUGGGCCUUAUAUAGCUGCAGCCGCCAUUUUCCAGAUAAAUAGAAUCUCCGCAGUGAAGUGUUUUUUGACUCUGUGUUGCAAUUCUUGGUCAGGUCUUAGAAGCACCGACGGUUAGGGCAACCCAAGAUGCUGUGAGGACACUUGGCAUUGCCUCAAGAGCCCUGUGGACAUUACUGAGCAGUGUUUUCAGUGUCCAUCAUCUGGAGGUGUGGAACUGUGUGUUUGAGAAUGAUCUGUCGGGUGCGUGGGUCAGUGUAAGCAGGGGUUCCACUUUUACUGAGUCCAGGAAGGAGCUGCUCUCCAGGUCGAGUGAAGCAAUGGAUUCCAUGAUUGCACUGUUUCGGUCCGUGUACUUGGCAGCCAACGGAUUUUUGUUUUGAAAUUAUAAAAACAAAAUCGAGAAACGAGCUGUAUUCCCACUACCAUUUAGAUGUAGUUCAUGCAUCUGUGAUCUCCUGGUUUUCUUGUGUUUCUUAGUUUCUGGUAAUGGUGCGCUUUCCUCUGCUCUGGCGGCUGUUUGUCGCUUCCAUCUGCUCUGUGCAGCUGGAAGACUGUUUGAACGUCCUUUUUCUUCCGACUGUAGUGUCCUGUUGGGUGGCUCAAGAAUGAACAAUAUCUUACGCACCAUAAGGGCGUGAAUUCUAAAGCUGGGUUUGGAUAUUGUACAUCCUUGGGAAUGAUGCAGGGUUUCAACAUGAGUCAACACUGUAGAUACAUCCAGAGAUGUGCCCAGUCCUGUCCAGUGCUGUUCAAAUCAAAGCUCCAGUGUCUUCCCCUGAUAUUGGGCUGCAGCGGUGGGCUUUUUUGUGUACUUGUGUAGGACAUUAUAGAUACUGAAUAAAUCCUCAAUAGCCUUCUCACCGGACAUGGCGUGAACAACGAUCAAGUGGAGUUGGUGGUUAAAGCAGUGAACAUUUGGGAUUUCUCUGCCCAGCUCACGUUGAAGAAGUCUUUGAACCCCAGCGAUUGGACAGGCCCCAUCGUAAACUUGGCUAAGUAUUUUGUCUGUGCUCAGGCCAGCGAAAUUCCGAAAAAAAGUACCCCUGUGAGACAUUUUGCAUCGCCUGCAUCUGCUGUGGCAAUCGUCAAGAACCUCUCUCUUAUAGUGUAGCUUUGGUCAACAAAACGCAGUACAAUAGAAAUAUUUCCACAGCCCGUUGGGUCUUGGGUUCCCUCCAUUUUGUGUAAAAAGCUUGGCUCAACAAUAUGCUCUGUCACCAGUUUGCUCACCAGUUCUACUAUUUCAUUUUGAAUGUCAUGGUUUAUGUAUGUUGCAUUAUUGGGAAUGGUAGGGCCAGUUUUUGCCAGCUCUGGGUCUUGCAUAUUUCUCCUGGGAGGGCCAAACUAGAGCGAAGAUAAUGACCUCUUCUGAAGAGUCCAUCAUGUUUUUUUAAUCCUCCGUGUCUCCUUGGCUACUAGCAACUGAGUGGAGGGCGGGGCGUGCGCGAUCAUGGAAGGCUUGUAUCAUGUGGACACACCGACAGUGUUGUUGUCAUUACUUAGAAUUCCUCAUGGGGGAGACAGAAACUACGCACUAUAGCUUUUAAACAUGUUAAAAUGUUUUUUUGCCUUUUAGGCUGAAACACAAAAAUGGUGAACACUCAAUCCUGUUCUGUUUUCUGUGUCUUUCUUUUGUUUAUUGCUGUUGUCAUUGGCCAUAUCAUUUAAUUGCUAUAAAUAUAUAGAAUGAAACCAUUUCACAAUCUUGACCGGAUGUACGACUUGUUUGGGGGCAAUAUAGCUCCAUAAAUAUGUGUUGCCAAAUGUAUACACACACACACACACAUCAAUACACAGAGCUUUUGAUACCUUACUAAGUAUUAAAGUCAUCUUAACAUAAUAAUUCUUAGAAUAUUCUACUGAUCUGGAGGAGGGGAUAUUAGCUGUGACUGAGUUGCUGGAGGGGAGUGUACAGCUUGGAGCAUUUGAGAAGUCUCACCAGAUGGGCUAAGCACCAAAACUCGCCACACAUGCAGUGCUUUACUUUAACCCCAAAGUGACCGCCGAUGCUCUUGGAUUUUAACCGCUCCCAUUUUGAUUCUUAGUGUUUUUAUUUGACACCAGAGACUCCGUUAUCACUCUAUUUUCAUUUUUUGCACCUGCAACAUAACAGAUUGUCCUUCAUUGGAUAGACAUAUAUAAAUAUAUAAAAAAGUAUAUAUAUGAACAUAAAGCAGAUUUUUACUUCAACAAGGUGCCACUUCAUGCUGCUGAUUCUUUUGGACAGAACUAAGUAUUUUUCAGGGUUGUGAUUAUUUAUGUCGAGCAGACAGUCUGAAUCUCCUGAAGUCUGUUGGCGACACACGCAGUACGUGAAUGUUUUCGGAUUUCCAGUCUGCUUUUUCAGUUUGUGUCUCCUUUUUGUUUUUGGUUUACAUUACUCAGAAGUUAUACAGAGGCUGAGGACAUGACACAGAUUAGACUUUUUGGGUUUGAAUCUGUGCUAGGUGAAGAAUUGGACAAUAGCACAUGUACAAAGCAAUAAGUUGGACUUUGGAGCUCCAGGACAUAAAAGACAUUUUAAAGAGAUGUAUAAACUGUAAAAUAUAUAUAUAAACUAAAAAAGAACUAAACAAAAUAGCAUAAUUUAUGUACACACUGAAAAGAAGAAGAGCGAAUAUUCUAACUAUAAGAGGUUAUUAUUAAUAUUAUUAGGGUCAAUAUGCAAAAGGUUCAAAACCC